Molecule: ribosomal RNA, 445 nt
Filed under: uncultured bacterium
Lineage: Bacteria
Description: partial 16S ribosomal RNA
Rfam family: Bacterial small subunit ribosomal RNA
Source: RNAcentral
GUAGGGAAUAUUGGGCAAUGGAUGCAAGUCUGACCCAGCCAUCCCGCGUGCCGGAAGAAGGCCCUCAGGGUUGUAAACGGCUUUUGACGGUGAAGAAUCGACAGGAUGCGUCCUGUUUUGACGGUAGCCGUUGAAUAAGCACCGGCUAACUCCGUGCCAGCAGCCGCGGUAAUACGGAGGGUGCGAGCGUUGUCCGGAUUUAUUGGGUUUAAAGGGUGCGUAGGCUGGAAGGUCAGUCAGCGGUGAAAAGCUGUCGCUUAACGAUAGUCUUGCCGCAGAUACUUCCUUUCUUGGAUGAGGAGGAGGCCACUGGAACGGAUGGUGUAGCAGUGAAAUGCAUAGAUAUCAUCCAGAACACCGAUUGCGAAGGCAGGUGGCUGUACCUUAAUCGACGCUGAUGCACGAAAGCAUGGGGAGCAAACAGGAUUAGAAACCCGAGUAGUCC